AUGACCUGGGCUCCUAUCCUGCUCACCCUCCUCCCUCACCUCACAGUGACCGUGGCCCAGGCAAGGCUGACUCAGCCCCAGUCAGUGACUGCGUCCCCGGGACAGACGGCCACACUCACCUGCACGGGAGACAGUCACAGUGUUGGCAACGAGGGUGCAGCUUGGCUGCAGCAACACCCAGGCCAGGCCCCCAGACUCCUGACCCUCAGGAAUAACCAGCGGCCCUCAGGGGUCUCCGAGAGGUUCUCAGGCUCCAGGUCUGGCAGCAUGGCUUCCCUCAGCAUCUCUGGGCUCCAGGCUGAGGACGAGGCUGAUUAUUACUGCUCAGCCUGGGACAGCAGCCUCAGUGCUUACACAGUGCUCCAGGCCAGCGGGGAAGUGAGACCCAAACCCUGA
Non-coding RNA from Camelus dromedarius (Arabian camel), 396 nucleotides. Lineage: Eukaryota; Metazoa; Chordata; Mammalia; Artiodactyla; Camelidae. The record is from the annotation of a RefSeq genome assembly.